This 253-nucleotide ribosomal RNA is filed under the name uncultured bacterium. Its description in RNAcentral is "partial 16S ribosomal RNA". It matches the Rfam family "Bacterial small subunit ribosomal RNA", at positions 524 to 776 of the family's 1533-position model. The record is from RNAcentral.
UACGGAGGGGGCUAGCGUUAUUCGGAAUUACUGGGCGUAAAGCGCACGUAGGCGGACCGGAAAGUUGGAGGUGAAAUCCCAGGGCUCAACCUUGGAACUGCCUUCAAAACUUCUGGUCUUGAGGUCGAGAGAGGUAAGUGGAAUUCCGAGUGUAGAGGUGAAAUGCGUAGAUAUUCGGAGGAACACCAGUGGCGAAGGCGGCUUACUGGCUCGAUACUGACGCUGAGGUGCGAAAGCGUGGGGAGCAAACAGG